Molecule: ribosomal RNA, 489 nt
Filed under: Salmonella enterica subsp. enterica serovar Montevideo
Lineage: Bacteria; Pseudomonadati; Pseudomonadota; Gammaproteobacteria; Enterobacterales; Enterobacteriaceae
Description: bacterial SSU rRNA
Rfam family: Bacterial small subunit ribosomal RNA
Source: RNAcentral
AUUGAACGCUGGCGGCAGGCCUAACACAUGCAAGUCGAACGGUAACAGGAAGCAGCUUGCUGCUUUGCUGACGAGUGGCGGACGGGUGAGUAAUGUCUGGGAAACUGCCUGAUGGAGGGGGAUAACUACUGGAAACGGUGGCUAAUACCGCAUAACGUCGCAAGACCAAAGAGGGGGACCUUCGGGCCUCUUGCCAUCAGAUGUGCCCAGAUGGGAUUAGCUUGUUGGUGAGGUAACGGCUCACCAAGGCGACGAUCCCUAGCUGGUCUGAGAGGAUGACCAGCCACACUGGAACUGAGACACGGUCCAGACUCCUACGGGAGGCAGCAGUGGGGAAUAUUGCACAAUGGGCGCAAGCCUGAUGCAGCCAUGCCGCGUGUAUGAAGAAGGCCUUCGGGUUGUAAAGUACUUUCAGCGGGGAGGAAGGUGUUGUGGUUAAUAACCGCAGCAAUUGACGUUACCCGCAGAAGAAGCACCGGCUAACUCCGU